GUAGUUUUUUAGUUUUAAAGUUUUGUUCUUUAUAUGGCAUUAAUUUCAAAUACAAGCCUGUGAACUUUGUGUUCCCCUUUAGGGGCUGGUUCUGGGGUAACGAGGAAACAUGAGGCCUAAACACCUCUUGCUUGUCUGUCUAAGGAUCUGCCUCUAUUGUGGCUCCCAUUCUUCUGAAGAACACCAGCAGACCCGUCCGAGUGUGGCGUUCACUAAACGCCUCCGCGUGGUGGGAGACGAGCUCGGGAAGAAAUACCUUCAAUCCAGCGACAAGGCAGACAGGACUCAAUACAAGGAGGACUGGACUCAGAUGAAGAAAAUACUAGAGACAAGAACAAACCUCAAGCCUCAUCUCAUGUGUAUCGUCACACUUGUAAAAAGAACGAGGUGGAUGAUGACACUGCUGCAGACGUGGAAGUAUCUAAGCUGAAGAAAUGUGGAGCACAUCUGAAUUCCAUACUUGCCCAUUGGGACCCAGUUUUCCUGGCACUGCCCUCCAUACAAGGAGGGGAGACCCUCAGACCUGGCUGAGACAGACAGACCCCAGCUUAGACCCUGGGACCGAGGCAGUGGCUGUCACCCAUGUGUCCACUCGAUUGGCGAUUACUGGCUGUUCAGCUAAGAGCGGCUAUUAGUGGCAGAUGUCGCCGCUUCAUAAAUGACAUAGUCAUGAAGUGGCUGCUGAGGCCCCUGGCUGGGCAGAACUUCCUCAGGGAGCAGGAUGUGUCUCCAGUGCUGAGGUGGCUGGGGAAUCGUGUCCUACCGCACCUGGCAGCCACGCAGGAAGUGCUCAGAGAUGAGACAGCAAGGAACAACCCCUUCAAACUUUACACCCAGCUCUGCCAGGCCAGCAGCACCUCAGCUGGGCUCUCUGGGGAGCUCGGUGUGCUCAGUCCCAUCACACUUCAGCUCAUGGAGGAACAGGGACUGUCCAGCACCUUCCACGAGCUUGUGAAAUCCCUGUGCCUGUCAGCAACAAUGGAAGAGGAUGCGGACAAGACAGCUGUUUCUAUAUUCCUGACUUCUGUUUACAUCAGGGACAUGUGGCUUGGAGCACAGGAGCCAGAUAUGUUACUUACCCCUGUCAGAUUGGUCUGCAUUAGUGCAGGUUAUGAAUUACAGGAUGACUUGGGAACUCGGAAACAAGGAGAGGAAACUAUUAUGUCUCUUUGCAAAAAAAAUUGUCUGCAUCAGGGGAUGUACAUUUGGGGAACUAACACUUCAACAUUUUGCGCUCUGCCAUCAUCACUGUGAGCCAUGAAAGCCUCCUGAGCUGUUCUCAUACAGACCUAACUUGUUUGGUCAAAAAUCAUAAUAUUUUAUUACUGUGUGCAAACUCGGGGGAAGAUUUUAUUCAGAUAUCUCAGUGAGACAUUAAAGCUCCAAUUUCUUUUUCUUGAACAGUCUGAAACACAGUAUUACUUCUAUAAUUUUUAUUACAGGCAUUUUUAACUUUUUGAAGAACCAGAAAGUCUGUUUGUGCACAUGUGUGUCGUUAAUAUCCAUCCUCACACCAAAACAAGAUGGGAACAAAAGGAUGCAGAGCUUCCUCCGGUGGGGUGUAAGUGCAAAUAACGAGGACCCAGAGGUUUGAUCAUGAUAAUUUACUAUUUGUUGAAGAGCCUGGUUGCUUUCAUCAUACCAAAACCAGUAUGAAUAGAAGCCUGAAAUUGGGAAUCAUGAUGGUCUUCUUGGGUUUAAAAAGUUUUAGUGGCUUUUAAAAGCGCUUAUAUCAGAUCUUGGUUUAUUUUUAUUACCCUUUUAUUUAAUUAAAAAAAAAAUAAAUCCAUGAUCCAUCAGUACUGCCACACUGUGUGACAAAAGCCCAUCUUCCCUCCACUUGGAAAAGGUGAGAGAUGGAAAUAAACUCCAGAAGAUUUUCUGCUCAUUGAUUAUGCUUGAGUUUUAUUGGGAAUUCCCUGUGGAAUCUGUUACAUUGUUCUCAAAAGUGGCCAAGAGAGUAGGUGAACAUGCCAGCACAGACCUGCAAACAUGCAGUGCCAGAAGGAGAGCCUUUGAAAUGUAAAUCAGGAUUUAUUCAAUGGACUCACAACAGCAUGCUGUCCCAGGUCCUUUGUCCAAAUAUUGUACAGGGAAAAACGAGAACUGCACAUUCCUUGUGAUAUGUAUUGAAUUUUGGGGAGGUUAAAUAAAAAUGAGAUGAAAAUGAGGGAAUUGCUAUUACAUGUAAAUAUUCUUGUCCUGAAGGAGCCAUUGGCUCUGUACCAAGACUGGAGUUAAAAAUUGUAUUUGUUUAAAAACCUGCAAAGCCUUUAGUGGCUUAAUUUUCUGUCAUGUAGAAUUCCUAGGGACUGACAUCAGGGAAUCUGUAAGCCAAAUCUGGCUCAGCUGCAUGUAGCCUAGCUGAGCUCAGUGCAGCUGAGUGCAGCCGAAACGAGCCGAGCUGUCCCAAAGAGUGGAAUCUAGACGAGUGUAGCCAAAAAGCGGUGACAUCUGCCACCUAAUAGCCGCUCUUAGCUGAACAGCCAGUAAUCGCCAAGUGGAUCUGGUAAUUUUCGAGUUCAGCCAAAGAGCCAAACCUGGCUGAGAUUUACCUGACCAAGAUGAGAUUAGCCGCUUUUAGUUGAGUUUAUUUGAACAGAUCUGAACGUAGCCUCGUAUAGACAAACCAGGCUGUGUUCAGCCGAGCCAGCAGAGCUCAGCCAAACCAUGGCCAAUCUUACAAGAUCGGCGAAACCAAAGCAAGAUCAACCGAAUCUUACCAGUUUGGCUGAACUGUCGCAAGUGCAGUUGAACCGAGGAAAACCUUAUGAGCUCAGCCAAACCCGAACCAAGCUCUGCUGAACCCAGACUCCGGCUAUCGUGCCCUUUAAUUAGAGUGAGUGCUGUCACUGCCUUGUCAGCUCCUGCCCACCCCCCGUUCCCGUUCAUGUCCAUUUGGUGGCCAGGCCACCCACAGGAUGCGACAGCAGGAAAACACCAAGCUGUGCAGCUUUAAUGUGAGGCGGCCGCGUUUUCCCACGCGGCACCCUGGCCUGGGCCACGCCACCCUCAGGGAGCUGAGGAAGGCGGCUGUCUCUAUUGGAUGCUCAUGGUUAUGUUUUUUUCUCCCCUUGAACUGAAAUUGAUGAGAAGGAGGCAGUUUUUUCUCUUGUUCAGACUUGGUUGUUUAUUCUUCUCUUAUCUGCAUUACAUGUAUACAAGUAUAUACAUGUAUACAUGUAUGCAAGGUACAAGGAGUUAUAUACACUAAGAUAGAAAGGCGCAAAAUGGCUAACAAAGAUCUUCUUCAAGGUCUUUUAUGUGUCUAUUUACCCAAUUAACAGAUGCCAAGUAAAUUAUUUUUCUUAGUGACCCUAUGACCCAACACCUGUGUGCUGCACUGCGGCAUCUUCUAUCCAGUCACCUACUACUACCUAAAAACCUCUAGAAGAAGAUGAAGAUAAAGAAGAAAGAAGAAGGACAAGAGACAAUGCCCUAAAUCCUCCGUCUCGUCUUCUGUUCUCUAAACAAAACUCCAAACUUUCUCACCCAGUCACUUAAGAAAACUUUCUUAUUUACACAUUUACACUCCUAGCUUUUCUAUUUAACCCUAACAAUUGUUUUUAAGAUAGAGCGGAAUCUAGACGAGUGUAGCCUAAAAGCGGCAAUGUCUGCCAUUAAUAGCCAAACAGCCGAUAAUGGUCAAGGUGUACUGAUAAUAGCUGAGGUUACCCGAAUGCCUGAUUAAUAGCCGAGUGUAACCGAUAAUUGACAAGUUCAGCUGAAGAGCUGAACCUGGCCGAGAUUUGUCCAACCGAGACGAGUUUGAUAGAAAAGAACAACUGAAACGACUAGCCGAGUUUAUUUGAACAGAUCUGAAUGUAGCCACGUUCAGCCAUACCAAGCCGAGCUUGGCCGAACUGAAAAACUUAUUUUGAAUGUGUAAAGUGACAAUGAAUCUGCUGUAUUUCAGCACAUGAGCAAGAACAGCAGCAAAAGCUCCACGUGAAGUUAAUUUACCCCCUUGGAAUGGGCCAGCAUCACAAAAGGCAGAGACAGGCACUGCACUAUCCCUCCUUCCCUCCUUCCCUCCCUCCCACUGCAGCUGCAGCCAGCAGCGUCACUGUGGACCCAGAGUGAAAGGAAGGUCUCCAAGCUCCCCCGGCCAGUGCGGAUGGUGAGCGCUGGUGCUGGCUGGGCACAGUCCCGGGGGAGUUGGGGGUUCAUGGGAAAUGCACUGAGGACAAGGCUGGUGAAGGGCCUGGAGCGCUCAUGUGCCCCCAAGAACCCUUGGAACACUUCUUUGGGGCGGUCUGUGUGAAAUAAAUUGGUCAGGACACAGACUCCUGUUUUAUGCCUUUAUUAGGACUCAGCCUUGGGGUGUGGCCCAAGGAUUCGUUUGCUCCCACACUGGCAUCUCCAAGGAUGAGGCACAAUUCAGCUUUGCAGCACACACUGCAGAGCUGGGACUUCAUCCUCAUAGGGAGUAGCCAGGAGGCAUGUUGUUCUGGCUCAUUGUCCAGGGUGUUCACUCCUUUCUAGUACUCUUAGGCCAUGGUGAUGCAAGAAGAUGUUUUGGUUUUUUUUAAGCAGGCUUAGGUCAUGCAGAAAGACAGUCUUUCAUCAUAGCUUGCUAAAAUAUAUUUCUUUGUCCUUUUAUUCCUUUGUUAGCUCAUUGUUUUUGUGUCCAGCGUGCCUUAGUUUGCAUAGGACUCAGGCACACAGCCCCCUGGGAGAAGCAUUGUUACAUAGUAACAGGGAAGUAAGGGAAAGGGGUAGAGGUACAUCUUAUAAGAGAACUCUUAAAACACUUCAACAACCGGUAAGUAAUUAACAUUACUCACAACUAUCGGGUUAAACAAGGGGUACAGCAAACAAGGUUUACAAAUAGGACAAGAACAUUAACUGGACACUGAAACAGAGAAAUUAAGAAUUAGGAAUCAUUUAUAAAAUUUCCUUGCGUAAAAGAAGGGGCUACAAAACCUGUGUGAAAUGCUGACUGCUCCCUUAAGAGCAGGAAGAGAAUAAAGACUGCAGGAUGAGGUAAGGAGCUAGAAUACGUAAACAGGAUGCAAGCAUAAAUGCGCCAUAGGAUGAGGGGGUUCCUUGGAUUCUUUUUGACCCCUAAGCCAGAGGAAAUGGGAAGAUGGGGGGGGUCAAAAGAACUGAAGGGAGCAUGUGCAAGAAGACAAGGUGAAAAGUUCAGCUGAAGGAAGAUUGCUGACUUCAGCCCCAAAGACCCCAGAAGACCACCAGAGUGACCAACAAGGAGCAGUGCGCAGCUGCAAAUGGGCAUGGAACUAAUUUUAAUACGAAGCGGGGACAGGCGGGGUUAGCAAAUGAAUAUGUAUUUGGUGUACUGUGUAACCCUAGUUUGUAGAGAAUAAAAGGGGAGAAACAAGUCUCUGAGGUGUGCAUGCCUUUGGAGGUGAU
RNA transcript from Parus major (Great Tit), 5376 nucleotides. It is a transcript of the gene named GDP-fucose protein O-fucosyltransferase 2-like, with no coding region annotated. NCBI's taxonomy places the organism in Eukaryota, Metazoa, Chordata, Aves, Passeriformes, Paridae. The record is from RefSeq and is a predicted model, not a curated record. The transcript is spliced from 4 exons.